Ictidomys tridecemlineatus (thirteen-lined ground squirrel) is the source of this 72-nucleotide non-coding RNA. NCBI's taxonomy places the organism in Eukaryota, Metazoa, Chordata, Mammalia, Rodentia, Sciuridae. The record is from Rfam.
UGGGUUGUGGCUCAGUGGUAGAGCGCUCGCCUAUCAUGCACAAGACACUGGGUUCGAUCCUCAGCACCGCAU